GGUUAAGCGACUAAGCGUACACGGUGGAUGCCCUGGCAGUCAGAGGCGAUGAAGGGCGUGCUAAUCUGCGAUAAGCGCCGGUAAGGUGAUAUGAACCGUUAUAACCGGCGAUACCCGAAUGGGGAAACCCAGUGUGAUUCGUCACACUAUCAUUAACUGAAUCCAUAGGUUAAUGAGGCGAACCGGGGGAACUGAAACAUCUAAGUACCCCGAGGAAAAGAAAUCAACCGAGAUUCCCCCAGUAGCGGCGAGCGAACGGGGAGGAGCCCAGAGCCUGAAUCAGCAUGUGUGUUAGUGGAAGCGUCUGGAAAGGCGCGCGAUACAGGGUGACAGCCCCGUACACAAAAGCGCAUAUGCUGUGAGCUCGAUGAGUAGGGCGGGACACGUGGUAUCCUGUCUGAAUAUGGGGGGACCA
RNAcentral lists this ribosomal RNA (415 nucleotides) under Salmonella enterica subsp. enterica serovar Typhi. RNAcentral's name for it is "partial 23S ribosomal RNA". It matches the Rfam family "Bacterial large subunit ribosomal RNA", at positions 1 to 455 of the family's 2925-position model. The record is from RNAcentral. Lineage: Bacteria; Pseudomonadati; Pseudomonadota; Gammaproteobacteria; Enterobacterales; Enterobacteriaceae.